Molecule: signal recognition particle RNA, 299 nt
Filed under: Aotus nancymaae (Ma's night monkey)
Lineage: Eukaryota; Metazoa; Chordata; Mammalia; Primates; Aotidae
Description: Metazoan signal recognition particle RNA (ENSANAG00000005183.1)
Rfam family: Metazoan signal recognition particle RNA
About the family: The signal recognition particle (SRP) is a universally conserved ribonucleoprotein. It is involved in the co-translational targeting of proteins to membranes.
Source: RNAcentral
GCCAGGCACAGUGGCAUGUGCCUGUAGUCCCAGCUACUCAGGAGGCUGAGGUGGGAGGAUCACUUGAGCCCAGGAGUUCUGGGCUGUAGUGCGCUAUGCCGAUCGAGUGUCCACGCUAAGUUCAGCAUCAAUAUGGUGACCUCCCAGGAGCAGGGGACCACCAGGUUGCCUAAGGAGGGGUGAACUGGUCCAGGUCGGAAACAGAGCAGGUCAAAACUCCCGUGCUGAUCAGUAUUGGGAUCGCGCCUGUGAAUAGCCACUGCACUCCAGCCUGGGCAACAUAGCGAGACCCCAUCUUU